Molecule: long non-coding RNA, 241 nt
Filed under: Carica papaya (papaya)
Lineage: Eukaryota; Viridiplantae; Streptophyta; Magnoliopsida; Brassicales; Caricaceae
Description: long non-coding RNA (CPAP_LNC015572)
Source: RNAcentral
AAGAACAUUCCACCAAAGAAACAGAGUAGACCUGGGGAGAAUAACCAGAGUUAUGAUGGAAAAUUUACUCUGAAUUGCUACUUUAUGGCAAGAAAGGUCAUGUGAAAAAAGAAUGUAAUAAGUGUAAGGCUUGGUUCAAAAAGAGAGGUAAUCUUUCUUUUGUAUGUUAUGAAUCAAAUCUUGUCGAGGUUCCUUCUAAUUCUCGGUGGAUUGAUUCUGGAGCCAUAACUCAUUUUAUAAU